Long non-coding RNA from Arabidopsis thaliana (thale cress), 409 nucleotides. RefSeq annotates it as other RNA. The record is from RefSeq. Lineage: Eukaryota; Viridiplantae; Streptophyta; Magnoliopsida; Brassicales; Brassicaceae. The transcript has a single exon.
CAAAGAGUUCUUCUCUUCUGUUUUUUUUUUUUUGCAGAUCUUCGUUCAUCUCUUCUGAUACUACUAAGAUAAAGUUAGAGAUAGCUCCGUGAGGGAGAAAUGUACUUAAAAAAAAAAAAAACAAUUCCGUUUUGAAAAAUGGACAUCUCUUCCCACCAAUAUCAAUGUUUGGAGGUUUGUUACCUUGGAGCUUACGGAUCGCAACUACUCGUUUUGAUGUAAUCACAACUCCUAACUUCAAACACACACCCUUUUGGUUACAAGAGAUGGUAGAGGCUGAAGAGCCCAAACUAUUACCUCUAUCUUCUCAGAAAUCUCUUCUUGUGAAGAGUAGACAUAUUAUGUUUGAUGAAAAUUUAGAGAGAUGUCAAUUGUAAGAAACAUAGAUAGAUUAAUAACCAAUAUAGUC